This 106-nucleotide ribosomal RNA is filed under the name Hepatozoon canis. RNAcentral's name for it is "partial small subunit ribosomal RNA". The record is from RNAcentral. Lineage: Eukaryota; Apicomplexa; Hepatozoidae.
UCAACUUUAUUAGAAGAGGCGCAUUUAUUAGAUAAAAAGCCAAUGCAUGCUUUUACAGUAUGAAAAUUGGUGAUUUAUAAUAACUUAGCAAAUCGCAAAGUGAAAA